CACACCGCCCCGUCACACCAUGGGAGUUGAUUGCACCAGAAGUAGGUAGCCUAACCGCAAGGAGGGCGCUUACCACGGUGUGGUCAAUGACUGGGGUG
This 98-nucleotide ribosomal RNA is filed under the name uncultured bacterium. Its description in RNAcentral is "partial 16S ribosomal RNA". It matches the Rfam family "Bacterial small subunit ribosomal RNA", at positions 1386 to 1482 of the family's 1533-position model. The record is from RNAcentral.